Molecule: long non-coding RNA, 2981 nt
Organism: Rosa chinensis
Lineage: Eukaryota; Viridiplantae; Streptophyta; Magnoliopsida; Rosales; Rosaceae
Exons: 3
Source: RefSeq, a predicted model, not a curated record
CUCGAAUUGAACAACCCAUUAGUGUCCCUGCCCACUUAGUACAACGAGACCACCAGUUAUGAACGUCUGCUGCUUUCUCUGUUCCCCUAUUUUACUGCUAGAGAAACUGUCUCUCUUUCUUCGAUCCAAAGGCUCCAACUUGAAGUGCAACGCCGUUCUGGGAUUCUCUCUGAGAUCCAAAACCACUCCUCUGUACCAAUCUGAAAUCUUUGCCUCUUCAAAACCCAAUUUCAGCUGCAAACAAAACCACUUCAACUCCACUCACAAACCCAUUACUUUCUUCCUUCAAAGAUUCUAUCUUUUCCCCAUUUUUUAUGUCUAUAUAUAUUUCCUAGGAAAACGUUAGUGAUUACCGCCUUCGUAGAUCCCCCAAAGUUAGUUUUUCCGCUCAACAGUUAUGGACAUCUAAUUUGCUUCACUUUUUUGUACAAGGUAAUAGAGAAUUGGUUUUGCCUGAACUGAGAUACUCAGACGGACAUUUGCUUCAGAAUCUGGGUUUAAUUCAAACUUUGAUCCUACAACCAAUUGCCGUACAAGUGAGGAGAAAACCAGAUCUGUUACCAUCUAUCGCUCGACAAUUCGAUCCAAAACUUUGAUUCAAUUAGCCGGCAUUCCAACGUAUACUUUUAAAUCAACCACGAUAUAUCUGGGUUUUCGAUGGUCGAUCUUCAUUACAAGAAUCAACUACGAGAGCUGUGGCUUCUAGUCCUCCAAAUCAAUUAAAGGUGGACCAAACCUUUUUCAUAGCUUAAAUCUCUUCUUCAGACUACUACUUCCUAUGAUAUGCGCUCCCUUUCUACCAUACAACAAGAACAGAACACCCGGUUGAUUCUUCGGGUCGUUCACUCAGGAUCGCGUCACUUUUCUCUUCGGCAACUUCCAUUGGAAACAGAGAAUAAUCGGAGAUUUGGUAUUAGAAUUCCUCGAGGACACAACUCCGAUUUUCUACAUUCACCCACUUUGGAUAAAUCUCGAUUCACCCAAGUAUUCCUAAAACGGAUUCGGCUUCUCUGCUAGAAUUUAUUUUGCUAGGAUCUGCUUAGAUAACACUCUCAGCUCGCCACGUGUUACUGGUUCAAUCUAAGGGCUAUAAUGCUUACAACACAGAAAGCCUGGACUCCUCGCAUCUCCCUCUCUGUCUUCGCCCAAUUUCCUCAUCAUCUAGUCGUGAACUGAAGCCGAGUCCGAUCUCUCGACUCCUCACUUAACUCUCAAGAUUUUCCAGAUGAUGGGGACGACUCACACCGUGGCUUAGAGAAGAGAAAUGGGUUUAGCUUCACAUGGGAGAAACCUUGCAUUUCAGAUUGGUAAUCCAAAAUCAAGGCUUUUGAUUCGGGUCCACUACUACUGCAGUUAUAAAUCAGAGAGUAAAAAGCUUCAAGAUCUUGAUGAAACAGUGAGGGAAAUCUGUACCAUUCUGAAGCGAAGCAGAGAGUGGGAGUCCGUGUUGAGCUCAUCAGGGUUUCCCAAGAAGCUAAACCCUUGUGUGGUUCGAUCCGUUCUUCAACAACACCACCAGGUUGGUGACCCAGAAAGACUUUUAAGUUUCUUUGAUUGGUCUGGUGCCCAAUUGGGUGUGCUCCCAAAUUUGCAUUCUUUUUCGAUUAUGGCUGUUGUUUUGUGUAAUUCCAAGCUUUUUGGGCAUGCCCAUGGUGUGUUGGAGAGAAUGGUUAGGACCCGGAAGCCGGCUUUAGAAGUUUUGGAUUGUGUUGUUAGGUGUUUUAGAGAGUUUGAGGGGUCUGAUAUGGUGGUUUUUGAGAUUUUGAUUAAUGUGUUUACGAUGGGGGGGUUGGUUUUAUGAGGCUGCUGAUGUGUUUUUGGGUGUUAGGAGUGUUGGGAUUUCGCCGACAUUGGAAUGCUGUAAUUCUCUGUUGAAUGAGUUGUUGAAGGGUAAUAGGAUGAGGCUGUUCUGGAAAGUGUAUGAUGGGAUGUUAGAGGCUAAGAUUUACACUUAUAGCAAUGUGAUCAAUGCACAUUGUAAGUUUGGGGAUGUUAGGCAGGGUAAGAGGCUACUGUUUGAGAUGGUAGAGAAGGGCUGUAAUCCGAAUUUGAGUACCUUCAAUGUGGUGAUUGAUGGAUUGUGUAGAAGUAGGGCUGUUGAUGAAGCCAUUGAGUUGAAAAAAUCGAUGGUUGAGAAGGGAUUGACACCUGAUAGGUAUACAUAGGGAGAUAUUGGUCCACGUAUCUCUCACCAUCUACUGGUUGCAACAGUAGCGGUGUUUGCGACUACAGGGGAGCCUAUGAUGCAAAUAAAUGUCUAAAGAACUGUGGUUAACCAGCUCAAACUCUGUACCAUAUUCCUCGUACUUGGGUACAAGAUGGAGAGAACCUUUUAGUUCUCCAUGAAGAGCUUGGGGGUGACCCUUCAAAAAUUUCUGUGAGGACACGAACUGGCCAAGAGAUAUGUGCGUAUGUAUCAGACACUGAUCCUCCGCCUGCCAGUUCUUGGAAACCAAACUCUGAAUUCAUGUCCCAAAAUCCUGAAGUUCAACUGACUUGUGAACAUGGAUGGCACAUUACUUCAAUUAACUUUGCUAGCUAUGGAACUCCUAUCAGAAGCUGUGGCGCCACUUUCACUCUGGGAACUUGCAAUGCUGAUGUCUUAACAAUCGUUGAGCAGGCUUGCCUUGGCAAAGAAGGAUGUUCGAUUACCAUCUCCACAGAAACCUUAGGUGAUCCUUGUCCAGGUGUAUUAAAGAGUUUAGCUGUUCAAGCUCUUUGCAGCAAUUGAGUGCCCGUCGCCUUACACCAAAGUCAGUUGAAAGGAUCCUUCCUAGUUGCAAUGGGAUUUUGGUGUUUCAAAUUUGGGAUCUGAUACCGAUGCCCCAUAUGAUUUGUUUUUGUGAUCUGAUACUGAUAAGUCCCUCACGAUUUUCGUUUGGCACCUUACUCGUGACAAUGUAAUUGACAUUGUUCUUAUACUAGGCAAGUGAGUGCAUCAUGACUGAUUUCAAUCAAAACUCCAUAUUAUCAGUGCAUCA